GAUGAAGAACGCAGCGAAGUGCGAUAAGUAGUGUGAAUUGCAGAAUUCCGUGAAUCAUCGAAUCUUUGAACGCAAAUUGCACUCUCUGGUAUUCCGGAGAGUAUGCCUGUUUGAGGGUCAAUUAAAUAAAAUCGGGCGUUUUUGAUGUCCGGAAUUGGGUCGUCAUGACCAUUCGGUUAAGUGACCUAAAAUUUUGUAUGAUCUUACGAACGUAUUUAAAAUAUUUACGUACGUUUUUGUAAUUAUUCAGUUUUAUUAGAUGUGGUCAUUUUUAUGGUUCGCGUCUAUAAUUUCUCAUCUAUUGACCUCAAAUCAGGUAAGAAUACCCGCUGAACUUAAGCAUAUCAAUAAGCGGAGGA
Molecule: unclassified non-coding RNA, 359 nt
Filed under: soil metagenome
Description: partial contains 5.8S ribosomal RNA, internal transcribed spacer 2, and large subunit ribosomal RNA
Rfam family: 5.8S ribosomal RNA (bases 1-120)
Source: RNAcentral